AGUGAACGCUGGCGGUAGGCCUAACACAUGCAAGUCGAACGGCAGCACAGUAAGAGCUUGCUCUUACGGGUGGCGAGUGGCGGACGGGUGAGGAAUACAUCGGAAUCUACUUUUUCGUGGGGGUUAAGGAAGGGAAAUUUACCUAAUUACCGCAUCUCCCCUAGGGUGGAAGGCGGGGGACCUUCGGACCUGCCGGGUUUGAAUUCGCGGUUUCGGAGUAGGUUGUUGGCGGGGUAAAGGCCCACCCAAGCGACGGUUCGUAGCUGGGCUGGGGGGAUGAGCAGCCACACUGGAACUGAGACACGGUCCAGACACCUACGGGAGGCAGCAGUGGGGAAUAUUGGACAAUGGGCGCAAGCCUGAUCCAGCCAUACCGCGUGGGUGAAGAAGGCCUGCGGGUUGUAAAGCCCUUUUGUUGGGAAAGAAAAGCAGCAGGUUAAUACCCCGCUGUUCUGACGGUACCCAAAGAAUAAGCACCGGCUAACUUCGU
This 490-nucleotide ribosomal RNA is filed under the name uncultured bacterium. RNAcentral's name for it is "partial 16S ribosomal RNA". It matches the Rfam family "Bacterial small subunit ribosomal RNA", at positions 29 to 506 of the family's 1533-position model. The record is from RNAcentral.